AGAAGCAAUACCGCGAGGUGGAGCAAAACUUCAAAAAAUGGUCUCAGUUCGGACUGUAGGCUGCAACUCGCCUACACGAAGUUGGAAUUGCUAGUAAUCGUGGAUCAGCAUGCCACGGUGAAUACGUUCCCGGGUCUUGUACACACCGCCCGUCACACCAUGGGAGCUGGUAACACCCGAAGUCAGUAGUCUAACCGCAAGGAGGACGCUGCCGAAGGUGGGAUUAGCGACUGGGGUGAAGUCGUAACAAGGUAGC
RNAcentral lists this ribosomal RNA (256 nucleotides) under uncultured bacterium. Its description in RNAcentral is "partial 16S ribosomal RNA". It matches the Rfam family "Bacterial small subunit ribosomal RNA", at positions 1245 to 1500 of the family's 1533-position model. The record is from RNAcentral.